Molecule: RNA transcript, 1519 nt
Organism: Lucilia cuprina (Australian sheep blowfly)
Lineage: Eukaryota; Metazoa; Arthropoda; Insecta; Diptera; Calliphoridae
Gene name: E3 ubiquitin-protein ligase RNF26-like
Exons: 3
Source: RefSeq, a predicted model, not a curated record
UAAAUUAUUCUUUUGAGUCCAUUUGAAGAAGCAACAUCGAAAGUUAUGGAAUACGAAAUUGUCAGUGGUCGCCGCAGGAAUAGCAAAUUACUCUAUUCUAUUAGAACAAUUAUAUUUAAAAAAAUCUGUAUAUAAAGAUACUGCCUUUUACAUUUGUUAUAAUAAAAAGUGCAGAUCGCGAGUUUGUUUAUUAAAUAAUAUUUUGGCAAAGUACUCUGAUUUUAUUGAACAUAAUCACGAUAAACAAAAACAAUUAUAUAAAGAACUAAAAGCCUUAAAUAAAAUUAAAACCGAGUGUAAGCAACAUCAAUGAGCAAAAUGCAUUUACUGGGAAACAUUCAAAAGUGUCUGUAAUAGUUCCCAAGAUGCUACAAAAAACAUAAAUUUUUCCGAAAUUCAACGUGGGUUGCAGUAUUUAACUAGCAAAGUUUUGUUGACGUCUCCAAAGACACGAAGUGAUGUCUAACAGGCGUUUCAAAAGGAAGAAGUUUUUAAAAAUUUUGGACUUAGCAAACACAACGAUACAACACCCUUUUUUACAAUUUGCCACGAACAAACAGAAUUUUCCUAUUGUGUUUUUGUGUCAGAUAAAAUUGUUGGCAUCAUAAAAGAAAACAUUCCCGAAAAUUCCAAUAGGAAAAUUUUAAUUGAUGCAGUAUUUAACUAGCAAAGUUUUCUUGACGUCUCCAAAGACACCAAGUGAUGUGCAACAGGCGUUUCAAAAGGAAGAAGUUUUUAAAAAUUUUGGACUUAGCAAACACAACGAUGCAACGCAACAAAAUAUAAGGACUUGACAACAUUUAUAAGACAAAAUAAAAAAGCGUCGAUAGAAUAUCAUAAGAUUUUAUGCUUGCCUUUAUUACCACCUAUUUACAUCACUAGUUCUUUCCAACAAAUAAAAGAUUGGCCCCGAAGGGAUUUCUGUUUCCGAAGAUUCGACAAGAACAACAUCAGCCUUAGAAGCAUGGAAACUUUUUCAAAUUUGUAAAAACUCUUCAAGGAGAAGAAUUUUUCAAAAGCCGCAAGUUCGAAGAAUUUGCAGAUAGUGGUGGUUUAUUUGGACAGGUGAAAAGAAGGAAGACGGCAAUAUAAAAAAUAUCAAAAAAAUGAAAAUGCUGUUGAUGAGUUAAAAAAGGAAACAUAACUUCAGCGACCUUUCUCAAUAGAAUGGUAUACCCAAAAAACAAAACAUGCUCAGACAUGGAACCAUAUGAAGAUGUGUUUGAAGAAUUAGUCUACUUGGAAGAGAAAAUUGAAGAAGACGAUGUAGAAGAUCAUAUAGAACCACGCAACAUAGAAAUUAAAUUGUGUUUCGUCUGUGUAAAUGAAGAGCCUAAUACUUUGUUUUUGCCAUGUAAACACAUGAAAAUGUGUUAUCAAUGUUUCCUUAAAUUACAAGCUCAGGCUAUUGUCAACAAUGGUCAAUUAAAUUGUCCAGUAUGCCGUCAGGCUGUGGUAGAAACCAUGCAAGUAUUUUUGUAAAAAUUAAUAAAAACGUUUAUUUGAUUUUUUAGGAAAU